This 714-nucleotide long non-coding RNA is filed under the name Manihot esculenta (cassava). RNAcentral's name for it is "long non-coding RNA (MESC_LNC000602)". Lineage: Eukaryota; Viridiplantae; Streptophyta; Magnoliopsida; Malpighiales; Euphorbiaceae. The record is from RNAcentral.
GGCAUAAUGUCACUAGCAAAUUCAAAUAUAGAAAUCUGAAAAUUUGCAGGUUUCUUGGACAAAUCUACAGAGAUAUAAUCCUAAAAUAGAGAAUGUUCAGGUGUGGGUGCAUGCCAUAAGUUCCGUGCAAAAUAACAAGUUCCUUUUAUUUGAAAUCUUUAUAAACUGGCUAGCGUUCAAAGUGGUUUCACUUUGCCAUAGCUUUGUGCCAAUUAUAAGCUCAAAGAGUUGCUCCUCGUCGACACAAGAAACAUUUCCUGAUAUUAUUUUACACAAAAAGUUGGCACAGGUAGAUUUAGAGGAAGAGUAUGUGAAAUCCUUUUGCUGCUGUUUAUUUUUCCCUUUUGUUGCUAAUGCAAACUAAGACACGAAUACAGUUCGACAGAGUCGAUCAGACAAACCGAAAUUAGCCCAUGAUCAUCAGCGCAGAAUGUGUCGGCUCCCUCCUCAUCGGAGACAAUAACAACGUGUCCAGUAGGAAAGCGCCGAUUACCUCUUCAGUAUAACUAAUUGAGCCCAAAGAAGCGGAUUCUGAACGAAGAAGACGGAGAAGGUAAAGAGGAUAGAGAAGAAUUAGAAAGAGAUGAAUAGGAGUGCUUCAAUCGCCAGAGAGCAGUUUAGGUGGCAACGAGAGCUGGUAGAAAUGGUGCAUUGAAGCAGCGCGAUAGACGACCAUUUGUCUUGCAACUGGGGGCCGGUGUUCGCUAUUUUUCU